Molecule: ribosomal RNA, 214 nt
Filed under: uncultured bacterium
Lineage: Bacteria
Description: partial 16S ribosomal RNA
Rfam family: Bacterial small subunit ribosomal RNA
Source: RNAcentral
UGGGAACGUACCUUUUGGUUCGGAACAACCCAGGGAAACUUGGGCUAAUACCGGAUAAGCCCUUACGGGGAAAGAUUUAUCGCCAAAAGAUCGGCCCGCGUCUGAUUAGCUAGUUGGUGGGGUAAUGCCCACAAGGCUACGAUCAGUAGCUGGUCUGAGAGGAUGAUCAGCCACAUUGGGACUGAGACACGGCCCAGACUCCUACGGGAGGCAG